GGGAUAACAGUUAGAAAUGACUGCUAAUACCGCAUAAGCGCACGGUACCGCAUGGUACAGUGUGAAAAACUCCGGUGGUGUGAGAUGGAUCCGCGUCUGAUUAGGUAGUUGGUGAGGUAACGGCCCACCAAGCCGACGAUCAGUAGCCGACCUGAGAGGGUGACCGGCCACAUUGGGACUGAGACACGGCCCAAACUCCUACGGGAGGCAGCAGUGGGGGAUAUUGCACAAUGGGCGAAAGCCUGAUGCAGCAACGCCGCGUGAGUGAAGAAGUAUCUCGGUAUGUAAAGCUCUAUCAGCAGGGAAGAAAAUGACGGUACCUGACUAAGAAGCCCCGGCUAACUACGUGCCAGCAGCCGCGGUAAUACGUAGGGGGCAAGCGUUAUCCGGAUUUACUGGGUGUAAAGGGAGCGCAGACGGCACUGCAAGUCUGAAGUGAAAGCCCGGGGCUCAACCCCGGGACUGCUUUGGAAACUGUAGAGCUAGAGUGCUGGAGAGGCAAGCGGAAUUCCUAGUGUAGCGGUGAAAUGCGUAGAUAUUAGGAAGAACACCAGUGGCGAAGGCGGCUUGCUGGACAGUAACUGACGUUCAGGCUCGAAAGCGUGGGGAGCAAACAGGAUUAGAUACCCUGGUAGUCCACGCCGUAAAC
Molecule: ribosomal RNA, 649 nt
Filed under: uncultured bacterium
Lineage: Bacteria
Description: bacterial SSU rRNA
Rfam family: Bacterial small subunit ribosomal RNA
Source: RNAcentral